Molecule: long non-coding RNA, 939 nt
Filed under: Nicotiana tabacum (common tobacco)
Lineage: Eukaryota; Viridiplantae; Streptophyta; Magnoliopsida; Solanales; Solanaceae
Description: long non-coding RNA (NTAB_LNC017667)
Source: RNAcentral
CACCUUCGGACCGUGAUGGCGCCUAAAAUUUUACUUGCUAGGCAAGCCAACGUUUGAAUAAUAUUAUCCAUUUUUAAAAUAAUUUUAAAUUUAUUAAUAACAAGGAAACAAAUGCGGAAGUAAAAUUUGAAAUAUAGUGAAAUAAUCCAUCAAACAACGGUGUCUAAAUACCAUCCUAGAAUUGGUGUCACAAGUGCACGAGCUUCUAGAAUAAAUACAAAUAAAUGUCUGAAUAAAAUAAAGUUGCCUGGACAUAAUCACACAUCUAAAGUAAAAUAGGCGGGGACUUCAGAACUGUGAAAGCCAUGCAGUUAUACCUCAAGUCUCAUCUGGUAGGUUAAAUUCGAGCAAAUCUAUGGUACACCGCUGGGACCAACUCCGAAAUCUGCAUAAGAAGUGCAGAGUGUAGUAUCAGUACAACCGACCCCAUGUACUGAUAAGUGCUGCGUCUAACCUCGACGAAGUAGUGACGAGGCUAAGGCGGUUCACUUACAUUACCUGUACGCAAUAUUAGUAACAACAACAAUAAUAGAAAUAAAUCAGGUAACUCAAUUAUAAUAAUUGAAGCAAACUCAGCAGUCAUAACCAAUUAUCCUUUCCAUCGAUUCAGUUCUGUUGCAGCGUGCAACUCGCUCUCAUAAUAUAUUCAUUUUUAAUCAAGUCUGUUGCGGCGUGUAACCCGAUCCUCCAAUAUAGAGUUUUAAUAAGUCUGUUGCGGCGUGCAACCCGAUCCUCCAAUAUUGGCUUUUAAUAAGUCUGUUGUGGCGUGCAACCCGAUCCUCCAAUAUAGACUUUUAAUAAGUCUGUUGCGGCGUGCAACCCGAUCCUCUAAUAUAGACUUUAAUAAGUCUAGUUGCGGAUUGGCUUUUAAUAAGUAUGUUGUGGCGUGCAACCCGAUCCUCCAAUAUUGACUUUUAAUAAGUCUAUUGCGGCGUGCAA